RNAcentral lists this ribosomal RNA (1462 nucleotides) under uncultured Bordetella sp. Its description in RNAcentral is "partial 16S-23S ribosomal RNA intergenic spacer". It matches the Rfam family "Bacterial small subunit ribosomal RNA". The record is from RNAcentral. Lineage: Bacteria; Pseudomonadati; Pseudomonadota; Betaproteobacteria; Burkholderiales; Alcaligenaceae.
GGUUCGAUCAUGGCUCAGAUUGAACGCUGGAUGCUUUACACAUGCAAGUCGAACGGCAGCACGGACUUCGGUCUGGUGGCGAGUGGCGAACGUGCGGGAGUAAUGUAUCGGAACGUGCCUAGUAGCGGGGAUAACUACGCGAAAGUAGCUAAUACCGCAUACUGCUCUUUCGGGGGAAAGCGGGGGACCUUCGCCUCGCACUAUUAGAGCGGCCGAUAUCGGAUUAGCUAGUUGGUGGGUAACGGCUCACCAAGGCGACGAUCCGUAGCUGGUUUGAGAGGACGACCAGCCACACUGGGACUGAGACACGGCCCAGACUCCUACGGGAGGCAGCAGUGGGGGAAUUUUGGACAAUGGGGGGAACCCUGAUCCAGCCACCCCGGCAGGCGAUGAAGGCCUUCGGGUUGUAAAGCACUUUUUGGCAGGAAGAAACGGCACGGGAUAAUACCCCGUAACUGACGGUACCUGCAGAAUAAGCACCGGCUAACUACGUGCCAGCAGCCGCGCAAAAUACGUAGGGUGCAAGCGUUAACUGGAAUUACUGGGCGUGAAGCGUGCGCAGGCGGUUCGAAAAAGAAAGAUGUGAAAUCCCAGAGCUUAACUUUGGAACUGCAUUUUUAACUACCGAGCUAGAGUGUGUCAGAGGGAGGUGGAAUUCCGCGUAGCAGUGAAAUGCGUAGAUAUGCGGAGGAACACCGAUGGCGAAGGCAGCCUCCUGGGAUAACACUGACGCUCAUGCACGAAAGCGUGGGGAGCAAACAGGAUUAGAUACCCUGGUAGUCCACGUUCAAACGAUGUCGAAUUUAGUUGCGCUGGGGCUUCGUCCAGAGUGUUAAUGAAGACCAUCACCAAAGAAAAAUAUUCACGCAAAAUCGAAGGAAUUGACGGGGACCUGCAAGCGGUGGAUGAUGUGGAUUAAUUCGAUGCAACGCGAAAAACCCACUUACCCUUGACAUGUCUGAAUCCCGAAGAGAUUUGGGAGUACUGCAAGAGAACCGGAACACAGGUGCUGCAUGGCUGUCGUCAGCUCGUGUCGUGAGAUGUUGGGUUAAACCCGCAACGAGCGAACCUUGUCAUUAGUUGCUACGAAAGGGCACUCCAUCGAGACUCGCCGGUGACAAAGUCUGGAGGAAGGUGGGAUGACGUCAAGUCCUCAUGGCCCUUAUGGGUAGGGCUUCACACGUCAUACAAUGGUCGGGACAGAGGGUCGCUAACCCGCGAGGGGGAGCCGUAAUCCCAGAAAACCCGAUCGUAGUCCGGAUCGCAGUCUGCAACUCGACUGCGUAGUCGGAAUCGCUAGUAAUCGCGUGGAUCAGCAUGUCGUGGUGAAUACGUUCCCGGGGUCUUGUACACACCGCCCGUCACACCAUGGGAGUGGGUUUUACCAGAAGUAUUAGCCUAACCGUAAAGGAGGGCGAUUACCACGGUAGGAUUCAUGACUGGGGUGAAGUCGUAACAAGGU